Angiostrongylus cantonensis (rat lungworm) is the source of this 119-nucleotide non-coding RNA. The record is from Rfam. NCBI's taxonomy places the organism in Eukaryota, Metazoa, Nematoda, Chromadorea, Rhabditida, Metastrongylidae.
CAACUCUGGCUCCACUGCAAUUAAUCGAGAAAAUCUUUCGCCUUUUACUAAAGAUUUCCGUGCAUUGGAGCAACCGUGAGUAUUUGCCAAUUUUUGGGAUCCCCUCGAAAGAGCGGGAU